GUACGGACAAGGGGAAUCCG
Molecule: small nuclear RNA, 20 nt
Filed under: Arabidopsis thaliana (thale cress)
Lineage: Eukaryota; Viridiplantae; Streptophyta; Magnoliopsida; Brassicales; Brassicaceae
Description: snRNA_11766
Source: RNAcentral